RNAcentral lists this long non-coding RNA (1389 nucleotides) under Anas platyrhynchos (mallard). RNAcentral describes it as "lncRNA (ENSAPLG00020006246.1)". Lineage: Eukaryota; Metazoa; Chordata; Aves; Anseriformes; Anatidae. The record is from RNAcentral.
AUGCCAGCGCCUGGCCUGCUUUUCCAGCCCCGGUCCCCAGGCAGGGUGGCACCCCGGGGCCUGUGCCCUCGGCGCUGGGUGACACGGUGCCCCCGAGGGGCUCAGCCUGCCCAGUGCCUGGGGGACAUCCCCGCCAAAGGGGAGCUGGGUGAGGACGGCGGCGAUGGCAAGCGAGGAGCUGGGCAAGGGGCUAGGGCAGGGCUGCAGGGGGGGCUCUGGGCUGGGUGGGCAGGGAUAGGGGCACGGCAGGGGUGCAGGCAGGGUGCGUGCAGCUCUUCAUCUGUCCCCAUGGGUGCCUGCCUUCACCCCUGGCACGCUCGGGCUCGCGGGGGCAUGGGGUCCUGGCAUCCCUCCCUGCCCAGCCGAGCCCCCCCCUGCCGCUCUGUGCCCCCACCAGCCCCGUGCCUUGCUGCGCCCCUGCCUUGUGCUGCCGCCUGCACGGGCCUCAGCGGAGUAAACCACGUUGCCAAACGCCCGGGCUGUGUGCUGCUUGCUGGGGGCAGGAGGGAGGCUGCUUGCACGGGCACAAAUGCAGACACAGAGGGUUUAUUCGUGGUGCUUUGGAGGGCGGCAGGGCCAGCGUGGGCUUCCACACCUCGGGGCCACCCAGCCCACAUGGGGACAGCAAGGAGCUGGGGGCUGCAGGCCCUGCUCCCUGCAGCUGGAGCCCAGGGGAGGUUUCUCCUGGGGGCUGGCGGGGCUGGGGGCACACCCAGGGGACACGAGGGUGGCCACAGGGUGCUGAGCUUUCUCCCCACCAGCCCUGUCCAGCAGGAAGGAGUGAGAUGGCUCUCUGCUGGCCACGAUCCCGGUGUCCCCGCCACGUCCCCAGCUCCCGGUGGUCCCUGGUUCAGGAUGGGGCAGGGGGAGGCGGUGCUGCGGGGCCAGGUGCUGGGCGCUCACAAGCCAGCCGGUCCUGCUGAAGGCGCCCCUCAGCUCCUCCACCUGGGCUGGGCUCAGCGGGGCCAGGGGCGCUCGGCAGGGCCCCCCGUAGUACCCGAACCACUCCAUGGCCUGCUUCAGCCCCUGGGAUCCCGAAACCGGCGGGUGACCUGCGGGGAGGGGGGUGCAGCAAUGCACCUGGGACGGGUCCCUGCUCACCUAGCAUCCCUGCAGCACAGCAGGAGCCAUCCCACGGUGGGUCGAUGCCCCCGGGAAGGCGCGGCGAGUCCCUCUGUCACCGCCUAUAAAUACCCUGCAGGUCUCACGCCAGGGGCUGGGCGGGUGCCCGGUGCCAGGGCACGCGCUGUUCCUGGCACACGAGGGCUGGCAUUUCCCACCCUGCCGCCUCCAGCCUGGGCUUGGCUCCCCAGCCGGGCACUGCGCUGCCCACCCAGGCUGUCCCCGCACCCCCAGGGACCCCCAUCCUCAUCCCCCCCAGCCCUGUAG